UGUAAAAUAAGCUAAACACUAAGCUUUUGGGUUCAUACCCCAAAUAUGAAUGAUUAUUCUUUUACAG
RNAcentral lists this transfer RNA (67 nucleotides) under Conus genuanus. Its description in RNAcentral is "tRNA-Met". Lineage: Eukaryota; Metazoa; Mollusca; Gastropoda; Neogastropoda; Conidae. The record is from RNAcentral.